CAUGAAGAGAUGUUGAAAGACGGUUUCGGCUGUCACUGUGAGAUGGGCCCGCGGCGCAUUAGUUAGUUGGUGGGGUAACGGCCUACCAAGACCACGAUGCGUAGCCGACCUGAGAGGGUGAUCGGCCACACUGGGACUGAGACACGGCCCAGACUCCUACGGGAGGCAGCAGUAGGGAAUCUUCCACAAUGGACGAAAGUCUGAUGGAGCAACGCCGCGUGAGUGAAGAAGGUUUUCGGAUCGUAAAGCUCUGUUGUAAGGGAAGAACACGUACAGGAGUAACUGCCUGUACCUUGACGGUACCUUACCAGAAAGCCACGGCUAACUACGUGCCAGCAGCCGCGGUAAUACGUAGGUGGCAAGCGUUGUCCGGAAUUAUUGGGCGUAAAGCGCGCGCAGGCGGUCCUUUAAGUCUGAUGUGAAAGCCCACGGCUCAACCGUGGAGGGUCAUUGGAAACUGGAGGACUUGAGUACAGAAGAGGAAAGCGGAAUUCCACGUGUAGCGGUGAAAUGCGUAG
This 518-nucleotide ribosomal RNA is filed under the name Sporosarcina aquimarina. RNAcentral describes it as "bacterial SSU rRNA". It matches the Rfam family "Bacterial small subunit ribosomal RNA", at positions 188 to 693 of the family's 1533-position model. Lineage: Bacteria; Bacillati; Bacillota; Bacilli; Caryophanales; Caryophanaceae. The record is from RNAcentral.